ACGAGCACGACGUGGGGCACCAUUCUCACUUGUGUCUGUUUUGUCACCACUAGUUGGUAUA
Molecule: non-coding RNA, 61 nt
Filed under: Plasmodium falciparum 3D7
Lineage: Eukaryota; Apicomplexa; Aconoidasida; Haemosporida; Plasmodiidae
Source: RNAcentral